UUUAACUGAGCGUUCAGUUACUUGACGUAGACCCGAAACCGGGCGACCUACCCAUGAGCAGGAUGAAGCGAAAGUAAAAUUUCGUGGAGGUCCGAACCCACGAGCGUUGAAAAGCUCGGGGAUGACUUGUGGGUAGCGGUGAAAUUCCAAUCGAGCCCGGAGAUAGCUGGUUCUCCCCGAAAUAGCUUUAGGGCUAGCCUCAAGGUGAGAGAUACGGAGGUAGAGCACUGAAUGUCCUAGGGGGUAUUGCACCUACCGAAGACUAUCAAACUCCGAAUGCCGUCAUCUUAUACUUGGGAGUCAGACUGUGGGUGAUAAGAUUCAUAGUCGAAAGGGCAACAGCCCAGAUCGUCAGCUAAGGUCCCUAAAUGUAAGUUAAGUGGUAAAGGAUGUGGGAUUGCACAGACAACCAGGAUGUUGGCUUAGAAGCAGCCACUCAUUCAAAGAGUGCGUAAUAGCUCACUGGUCGAGUGAUCCUGCGCCGAAGAUUUCCGGGGCUAAAACUUACUACCGAAGCUACGGCAUCAGUAAUGAUGGGUAGGGGAGCUUCCCAUACGGGUUGAAGCAUGACCGUAAGGACAUGUGGACAGUAUGGGAGUGAGAAUGUUGGCAUGAGUAGCGAGAUGUGGGUGAGAAUCCCACAGGCCGUAAACCCAAGGUUUCCAGGGGAAGGUUCGUCCGCCCUGGGUUAGUCGGGACCUAAGCUGAGGCCGAAAGGCGUAGGUGAUGGACAACAGGUUGAUAUUCCUGUACUACCGAUAACCGUUUGAGAGAAGGGAUGACACAGUAGGAUAAGCUAAGCACACUGUUGGUUAUGUGUGCCCAAGCAUUGAGGCAGUCAAAGUAGGCAAAUCCGCUUUGAUAAUGCUAGGAUGUGAUGGGGAGCGAAAUUUAGUAGCGAAGUAGCUGAUUUCACACUGUCAAGAAAAGUCUCUAUCGAGGUUAAAGGUACCCGUACCGCAAAC
This 965-nucleotide ribosomal RNA is filed under the name Clostridioides difficile. RNAcentral's name for it is "partial 23S ribosomal RNA". It matches the Rfam family "Bacterial large subunit ribosomal RNA", at positions 683 to 1654 of the family's 2925-position model. Lineage: Bacteria; Bacillati; Bacillota; Clostridia; Peptostreptococcales; Peptostreptococcaceae. The record is from RNAcentral.